This 263-nucleotide ribosomal RNA is filed under the name uncultured bacterium. Its description in RNAcentral is "partial 16S ribosomal RNA". It matches the Rfam family "Bacterial small subunit ribosomal RNA", at positions 92 to 353 of the family's 1533-position model. The record is from RNAcentral.
CGACCGGCGCACGGGUGAGUAACACGUAUCCAACCUGCCGAUAACUCGGGGAUAGCCUUUCGAAAGAAAGAUUAAUACAAGAUGGCAUCAUGAGUCCGCAUGUUCACAUGAUUAAAGGUAUUCCGGUAGACGAUGGGGAUGCGUUCCAUUAGAUAGUAGGCGGGGUAACGGCCCACCUAGUCUUCGAUGGAUAGGGGUUCUGAGAGGAAGGUCCCCCACAUUGGAACUGAGACACGGUCCAAACUCCUACGGGAGGCAGCAUG